Molecule: unclassified non-coding RNA, 345 nt
Filed under: soil metagenome
Description: partial contains 5.8S ribosomal RNA, internal transcribed spacer 2, and large subunit ribosomal RNA
Rfam family: 5.8S ribosomal RNA (bases 1-120)
Source: RNAcentral
GAUGAAGAACGUAGCGAAAUGCGAUACGUAAUGUGAAUUGCAGAAUUCAGUGAAUCAUCGAGUCUUUGAACGCACAUUGCGCCCCCUGGUAUUCCGGGGGGCAUACCUGUCCGAGCGUCAUUGCUGCCCUCAAGCACGGCUUGUGUGUUGGGCCUCCGUCCUCCUCCCGGGGGACGGGCCCGAAAGGCAGCGGCGGCACCGCGUCCGGUCCUCGAGCGUAUGGGGCUUCGUCACCCGCUCUUGUAGGCCCGGCCGGCGCUUGCCGACACAUCAAUCUUUUUUCCAGGUUGACCUCGGAUCAGGUAGGGAUACCCGCUGAACUUAAGCAUAUCAAUAAGCGGAGGA